This 253-nucleotide ribosomal RNA is filed under the name uncultured bacterium. RNAcentral's name for it is "partial 16S ribosomal RNA". It matches the Rfam family "Bacterial small subunit ribosomal RNA", at positions 524 to 776 of the family's 1533-position model. The record is from RNAcentral.
UACAGAGGUCUCAAGCGUUGUUCGGAUUCAUUGGGCGUAAAGGGUGUGUAGGUGGCGCGCUAAGUCGGGUGUGAAAUUUCGGAGCUUAACUCCGAAACUGCAUUCGAUACUGGUGUGCUUGAGGACUGGAGAGGAGACUGGAAUUCAUGGUGUAGCAGUGAAAUGCGUAGAGAUCAUGAGGAAGACCAGUGGCGAAGGCGGGUCUCUGGACAGUUCCUGACGCUGAGGCACGAAGGCCAGGGGAGCAAACGGG